UCUACAGCAGCAGCUGUAGCACUCUGCUUCCUGCUGCUUCUAAACACUAUGACAUGCAGAACACACCACAGGCCAGUUUGCCACAGGAUUCAAAGAGGCUGGUAGCUGAUUUCGAAAUGCUUCAUAAAAGCCAUCGCAUCUGCUGAUGAAAGCGUGCCUGUGUGGUGAUACUAUGCAAUACUAUUGAGGGAGAUAUACUGCAAGUGUAAAAAUGAAGCCUUCUGAAUUUUGCAUUUAAAAUAAAACUAUAACAUUU
Taeniopygia guttata (zebra finch) is the source of this 256-nucleotide non-coding RNA. The record is from RefSeq and is a predicted model, not a curated record. Lineage: Eukaryota; Metazoa; Chordata; Aves; Passeriformes; Estrildidae.